GGAGAGGUGGCCGAGUGGCUGAAGGCCCCGCUCUCGAAAAGCGGUAUCCUGGCUAAAACCGGGAUCGUGGGUUCGAAUCCCACCCUCUCCGCCA
RNAcentral lists this transfer RNA (94 nucleotides) under Deltaproteobacteria bacterium. Its description in RNAcentral is "tRNA-Ser". It matches the Rfam family "tRNA". Rfam says of the family: Transfer RNA (tRNA) molecules are approximately 80 nucleotides in length. Lineage: Bacteria; Pseudomonadati; Myxococcota; Myxococcia. RNAcentral also lists the same sequence under 3 other names. The record is from RNAcentral.